This 73-nucleotide transfer RNA is filed under the name Bos taurus (domestic cattle). It matches the Rfam family "tRNA". From Rfam's summary of the family: Transfer RNA (tRNA) molecules are approximately 80 nucleotides in length. Their secondary structure includes four short double-helical elements and three loops (D, anti-codon, and T loops). Further hydrogen bonds mediate the characteristic L-shaped molecular structure. tRNAs have two regions of fundamental functional importance: the anti-codon, which is responsible for specific mRNA codon recognition, and the 3' end, to which the tRNAs corresponding amino acid is attached (by aminoacyl-tRNA synthetases). tRNAs cope with the degeneracy of the genetic code in two manners: having more than one tRNA (with a specific anti-codon) for a particular amino acid; and 'wobble' base-pairing, i.e. permitting non-standard base-pairing at the 3rd anti-codon position. The record is from Rfam by way of RNAcentral. RNAcentral also lists the same sequence under 2 other names. Lineage: Eukaryota; Metazoa; Chordata; Mammalia; Artiodactyla; Bovidae.
UUCCUGGUGGUCCAGUGAUUAGGACUCUGUGCUUCCACUGCUGGGGGCCCAGGUUCAAUUCCUGGUUGGGAAA